This 73-nucleotide transfer RNA is filed under the name Dermacentor andersoni. RNAcentral describes it as "transfer RNA lysine (anticodon UUU)". It matches the Rfam family "tRNA". Rfam says of the family: Transfer RNA (tRNA) molecules are approximately 80 nucleotides in length. Their secondary structure includes four short double-helical elements and three loops (D, anti-codon, and T loops). Further hydrogen bonds mediate the characteristic L-shaped molecular structure. tRNAs have two regions of fundamental functional importance: the anti-codon, which is responsible for specific mRNA codon recognition, and the 3' end, to which the tRNAs corresponding amino acid is attached (by aminoacyl-tRNA synthetases). tRNAs cope with the degeneracy of the genetic code in two manners: having more than one tRNA (with a specific anti-codon) for a particular amino acid; and 'wobble' base-pairing, i.e. permitting non-standard base-pairing at the 3rd anti-codon position. Lineage: Eukaryota; Metazoa; Arthropoda; Arachnida; Ixodida; Ixodidae. The record is from RNAcentral.
GCCCGAGUCGCUUAGUCGGUAGAGCGUUAGGCUUUUAACCUAACGGUCCAGGGUUAGAGCCCCUGCUCGAGCG